UAUUCUGCUCUAUGACAUGCUCAAAAUUAUUCUUUAAUUGUGCACUAACCUCACUUUUUUAUAGCGCUUCAUGGAUCACUGCCCAGGUACGCAUCCACAUCCGCUCUGGUCAUUUUCGGUAUGCAUGUUUAGAUUCUCACGUGUGCAUGAUCACUUUGUGUAUUCAUUGAUUUCCUCAUCAAUUGCCAUGAUUGCUUCAUUUUAUUAGUAGAGACCCGACUUUAGGGACUUAGAGGGGUGCUAUGGUAUUUUACCGUACCUUCCCGACAAGUAAUCUGACCCCCGAGCCCGAUCCGGUUUUUCGUAGAUCACCUUUUCCAAAAUAAGGAGUCGCACUUAGGGUUUUUCUUUCUUAUUUUGUUUACCCUUUAAAAAUAAAACAAAAAUAAGUGGCGACUCCAAGUCAUUUCUUUUUAACCAAUUAAAUCAAUUUUUCAAAAUAA
Molecule: long non-coding RNA, 443 nt
Filed under: Vitis vinifera (wine grape)
Lineage: Eukaryota; Viridiplantae; Streptophyta; Magnoliopsida; Vitales; Vitaceae
Description: long non-coding RNA (VVIN_LNC006134)
Source: RNAcentral